Molecule: long non-coding RNA, 1468 nt
Organism: Musa acuminata AAA Group (dessert banana)
Lineage: Eukaryota; Viridiplantae; Streptophyta; Magnoliopsida; Zingiberales; Musaceae
Exons: 3
Source: RefSeq, a predicted model, not a curated record
GUAUGUAUCUAUGUUAGGAUCAGGGAUAAUUCCUGCCUGCUUCUCCCUUCUACUGACUUCCUUCAUAAUCUCUUUAAAAAGCAUGCUCAGUAAGCUUUGUUGUUAACUUAUACUGAUAAUAAUCAAAUAUUUUGAAAGAUCCAUUAGGUUCUCACCUGCUCUACUCCCAACACCUUGAAAGCGUGCAGAAAAAUCUAGUAUUUCCCUUACUGUCAUCUCAGGAAUAUGUAGGUCAUAUUGGCUUAUGUAAGCUGAUGUCUUCUCAGGCACGAACUCUUCCAAUCCAAGGCCGUUUGUUCCAUAAAGUUGGUAGGGGCUUCCCUUCAACCACUAGACAUUCUGCUUCCACAGACAGAUUCUUGUAUCUCACCUCUAUCGUGGGCAAUUUCACAUUUACCCUGUGGAAACAGUUGCCCAUGGUUAACCAUAGAUUAUUGGAAUCCAAUCAGCUAUAACCAUGAUUUCUCAGGUGAUUUACAUGGACCCAAGAGGAGAAAGAAAAAUAACAAAACGUUCUCAACAUGAUGCAGUUUACCUGUCUAUCCUUUCUCUUUGUUUCUGUAAAAGGCGAAGGUUGUCAUUUUCAAUAUGCCUGAUGAGAUUUUCAAUGAGAAGGCGCCUUUCUAGUGCUCCCAGCUUGGUAACAUCAAUGAUCUUCUUUUCAGAUUUUUCUUUAGCAACAUUUCCAUCAUCUCGAUGAUCAAAAACAGAUGUUCUCACUCGUUCAAGGGUGGGUAAUCUCUCAAUUGCAGCCCAAGUCAACUCAUGCUCAUCGUCAUCAUCAGCCCUCGUAGAACCAACACUGGAGCUUCUUCGAAAACUUGAUGCAGCAAUUCUGAAUGAUGACCUGAUGCUUCUUUCUAUCUCUGCUAACUCAACACUCAGGGUCUCACUUUCGUUCCUGCCCAGCUGAUCCAUCUCUUCUUCUCGAGUCAUUGGGAGCAAGACAGUGGCUACUGUCAUUUAAAGUGCAUGGUAUUUGUCAUUCAACUAAUCUGAAUGUGAUGGUUGAAUUUUCAGUUGAAGGAGGUGCAUCGUGGAGCUUCCACACAUUCUCUUCCUUUGUAUCCGCCUAAUCUUAUAACUUUUAUGAGAUCCACCAAUGGCAUGUGGAAUUGUGUUCAUUGAUGGGGAUUCCAAAGUUUUUUCAACAAGUGACGAGAUUUUGUUUCUGGGAAACUGUACUUCGUUGUGAUUUAUAUUUGUCUGAGAAAGGUAUGCAUCCCACCAUAAAAUAUUUUCCCUUUGGCGAAUCAUUACAUGUUGUUGGUGGUGGUGGUGGUGAAUAACUAUGUCCAAUUGAUGAGAGGACAAUUCUUCUCACCACUGCUGCUUGAAUUCUUUGAGUGUGGAUCACUUGUUUGCGUGGGAUUUUUAAACAAGUGAACAUAUUUUCUUAUCUUGUCCUUGACCUUGAAUGUGGUGCUUUUAACUUGUGAUGUCUCUUUCGCAUUGCAUACUAUGAUUU